Molecule: ribosomal RNA, 210 nt
Filed under: uncultured Latescibacterota bacterium
Lineage: Bacteria; Pseudomonadati; Candidatus Latescibacterota
Description: uncultured Latescibacteria bacterium partial 16S ribosomal RNA
Rfam family: Bacterial small subunit ribosomal RNA
Source: RNAcentral
GGCGGGAUGACGUCAAGUCCUCAUGGCCCUUACAUCCCGGGCUACACACGUGCUACAAUGGCAGGUACAGAGGGCUGCGAAGCCGCGAGGUGGAGCGAAUCCCAGAAAACCUGUCUCAGUCCGGAUUGAAGUCUGCAACUCGACUUCAUGAGGGCGGAAUCGCUAGUAACCGCGAAUCAGCAGGUCGCGGUGAAUACGUUCCCGGGCCUU